CUCAAGUUAAACCAGUCCCAGAC
This 23-nucleotide small nuclear RNA is filed under the name Arabidopsis thaliana (thale cress). RNAcentral's name for it is "snRNA_06669". The record is from RNAcentral. Lineage: Eukaryota; Viridiplantae; Streptophyta; Magnoliopsida; Brassicales; Brassicaceae.